RNAcentral lists this unclassified non-coding RNA (278 nucleotides) under fungal sp. RNAcentral's name for it is "partial internal transcribed spacer region". The stretch from base 1 to 59 matches the Rfam family "Eukaryotic small subunit ribosomal RNA", at positions 1773 to 1831 of the family's 1831-position model. Lineage: Eukaryota; Fungi. The record is from RNAcentral.
CUAGAGGAAGUAAAAGUCGUAACAAGGUUUCCGUAGGUGAACCUGCGGAAGGAUCAUCAAUGAAUUUCAAAUGAUGGCCUACAUCUUUGAAUUGUCUAGUGAAUACUUUAUUUGCUUGACUGGAAUUGACGGAUUAUUGCUUAAUUCAGGCGAUAAUUAUUUUUAAAGUCCAGGUUUUUAAAGUAAGGCGGUACUUUGACCAAAAAAAUGAGGACAAAAAAAAUCUCAACUUUUACCGACCAAAAAACAACUUUCGGCAACGGAUCUCUCGGCUCACC